ACUAAACUAUGGCCGAGAAAUACAGGACUUUGAAAAUUGUGUGUUGCAAGGGCAGGCAGCAUUGGGGGGUCAAGGAUGUCGCGGAUGUGGUUGAUUGCUUGUAGUUCUGCAGAUUUGCUGUCAUUCUGAAAAAGGCAGGAAAAUACCUUCUAGCUGUCUGUUAUGGUAACCAGCCACUCAUUCCCACAAACCCUCCCACAAACCCUUCCACUUGCCUUCUGUUGUAGCAUUCCAUUUCGUUACUAUACUCUUCUCCCAAGCCACCAGCAAGAAACACGAAAACCCCUGCUGAGAACCCUUGACCAGGCCAUCAAGGAUGAUUGUUCUAUAUCUAUCACCACCUUGGCCAACAA
RNAcentral lists this small RNA (353 nucleotides) under Histoplasma ohiense. Its description in RNAcentral is "hypothetical lncRNA". Lineage: Eukaryota; Fungi; Ascomycota; Eurotiomycetes; Onygenales; Ajellomycetaceae. The record is from RNAcentral.